This 58-nucleotide transfer RNA is filed under the name Dipodomys ordii (Ord's kangaroo rat). It matches the Rfam family "tRNA", at positions 1 to 57 of the family's 71-position model. From Rfam's summary of the family: Transfer RNA (tRNA) molecules are approximately 80 nucleotides in length. Their secondary structure includes four short double-helical elements and three loops (D, anti-codon, and T loops). Lineage: Eukaryota; Metazoa; Chordata; Mammalia; Rodentia; Heteromyidae. The record is from Rfam by way of RNAcentral.
GGGAAGGUGGCUCAGUGGUAGAGUGCUUGCCUUGCAUGCAUGAGGCCCUGGGUUUGAU